GGAUCAUCUUCGUUAAAUGGAUAACUGUAAUAACUCUAGAGCUAAUACAUGCCAUGAUGCCCUGACCCUAUCCACUCGCUGGCUGGGGAAUGGGUGCACUUAUUAGAUCAGAAGCCAACCAGUGCAUGCGUUCGAGCCCUUUCCGGGGUGAGAUCGUGUGGGCUGUAGUACUUCUGGUGACUCUGGAUAAUUGUUACAGAUCGCAGUCGACCUUGAGUUGGCGACGGGUCCUUCAAAUGUCUGCCCUAUCAACUUUCGAUGGUAGGUGACCUGCCUACCAUGGUGAUAACGGGUAACGGGGAAUCAGGGUUCGAUUCCGGAGAGGGAGCCUGAGAAACGGCUACCACUUCCAAGGGAGGCAGCAGGCGCGCAAAUUACCCACUCCCAGUACGGGGAGGUGGUGACGAAAAAUACCGAUGCGGGACUCAUUUAAGAGGCUCCGUAAUCGGAAUGAGUGGACUCUAAAUCCUUUCACGAGGAUCAAUUGGAGGGCAAGUCUGGUGCCAGCAGCCGCGGUAACUCCAGCUCCAAUAGCGUAUAUUAAAGUUGCUGCAGUUAAAAAGCUCGUAGUUGGAUCUCGGUAGCAUUGUUGCCUGCAUAGUACUUAACCGUCAGUGUGUGCGUCGUAUUGUGUGCACGUGUGUGUGUGUGUGUGUGUGCGGUGCUCUGCUCGGCUUUGUCUACCUGCGUUGCCUACCUACUGCGCGUUUUCAUACGCCUGUGUAGUGUAAUGUUUGAAAUUUGGC
This 746-nucleotide ribosomal RNA is filed under the name Moniezia expansa (sheep tapeworm). RNAcentral describes it as "SSU rRNA". It matches the Rfam family "Eukaryotic small subunit ribosomal RNA", at positions 122 to 770 of the family's 1831-position model. Lineage: Eukaryota; Metazoa; Platyhelminthes; Cestoda; Cyclophyllidea; Anoplocephalidae. The record is from RNAcentral.